This 1503-nucleotide long non-coding RNA is filed under the name Piliocolobus tephrosceles (Ugandan red Colobus). RNAcentral describes it as "lncRNA (ENSPTEG00000016715.1)". Lineage: Eukaryota; Metazoa; Chordata; Mammalia; Primates; Cercopithecidae. The record is from RNAcentral.
AUGAUAAACAUUAUGAAUAAAUAUUUUUUCUCAAAAUACUGUAAUACAAAAGUAAAUUUAUUUCAAAAAUAUUUUUUUAAAAAGAAGAAACUUAUGCGAAGAAGAAGUUACAACUCCAUUUUUUGCAACAUAUGCAAUGUUAUUUUUUUUUCGUUAAAUUCUUAUUUCAUAAAGAAAUACAUACUUUCAAAAAACGUUAAUAUAUUUUAUUUAGAAGAUAAAACAAAUGCUUAUUUGGAAAAAAAAUAUAAGACUAAGACUCCGUAUAUAAAAACAGAAAGUGGUAUACUCUAUAAGGACCUAAUAGAUGGAGAAGGAGACCCAAUAGAAGAAGGUGAUAUCGUAUAUAUCCAUUACCAAGGAAAAACAACAAAUGAUUUUCGAAUUAUCCAAUCAACAUUCAAAAGUAUUAUUCCACCUAAAAUUAAAGCUGGGUGUUAUGAUAGAAUGCAUAUACCAGCUAUUUACGAAAUGGUUAUUAAUAUGAAAAAACAUACGAGGAGACAAUGUAUUAUUCCUCCACAUAUGGGUUUACCCAAUCAUUUCCCUAAUCAACCCCUUCUUUACGAAAUAGACGUUGUCAGAAUAGUAAAAAAGAACGCACCACAAAAAACACUUUUGGAAAAAAUCAAAGCGCAAAUUGAAUAUUUGAAAAAUAUUAUUUUUACUUUCUUUUAAUUUAUUAUAUACGUCAAUGUAAAAAAUAUAUAUAUAUAUAUAUAUCUAUUAAGCAUCAUUUAUGUAUCUUUUGGUAUCAUUUGUUUUUAAUUUUUUUUUUUUUUUUUUUUUUAUCACUAAAACAAUUACUUUAUACUGAGCACUUUCUUUCUUGUUUGUCUGCCUAUUUACCAUUUAGACUAUUAUUUCAACUUUUAUCAUUCAUCUUCCACCAAUUCAUUCAUUAUACUUGAUGCAAUGUGGUUUAACUUUUUUUUCUCUUCUACUUUUUUUACACAAUCACCAUUUACAACACCAUUUACAACGCCAUUUUCAACACCAUUUACAACACCAUUUUCAACACCAUUUUCAACACCAUUUUCAACACCAUUUUCAACACCAUUUAAUGUUUUUAUGCACAAAUUGUUAAAAUUAACAUUUAUAUGCGUUAGCCAAUUAUUAACAAUAUGAACAUUUUUUUCAUUUUCUAUUAAUAUAGCGUAACCGUUUUUAUUUCUUCUUCCUACUCUUCCACAUAAAUGAAUAUAUUCAUUUAUAUUGGCAGGUUUAUUACAUAAAAUUACAAUAUCCAAAUCGUUUAUAUGAAACCCACGAAUGUUAUCAAAUGAACUAAUAACAAUAGGGUAUUUAUUUAAAUACAUAUUUUUAUUUUGUAUUUCUUUUUUUUUAUUCAUUGUCAUUGUCAUAGUUACAGUUUCAUUUAAAAUUUUUAAUUUUUCAUAAUUUUUACACAUAUUAAAUAAUUGUUUAUUAUUAUCAUUCAACGAUAUUUCUAAUUGUUCAUGUAAUAAUAAAGAAAAUAUAUUAUUUUUAUGUAAAUAUUGU